AAAAAAAAAAUUUCCUCCAAUUAUAUAAGAUAUAUGAUGAACGACUCCGUGUUCUGAACACAUUGAAAAAUUUUCUCCAGAUAAGAUUCACCUCAUCUUGCAAGAGGAUUGGAUUGGGAAACAAAAAAAAUUCCAACUAAUUGGAAAUCAAAUUUCCAUUUUCUUACGUGCGCAAUUACUCUCCACUUUUCCACACGUGGUAGAGAAGACCUUCCUUCCCCUGUUCUCAUCGCAGACUCUUAUUCUUCCCCAAAGGUCUCGUCUUUCAGACCAAGCAAGCAGGUUUUGGUUGGUUCGUCUCUCCAUUCGUCUGUCCAGAACCAUUGAAUUCCGCAUUCAACGAUUGGGAUGAUAAUCCCAAUGACACUUGGCACUUUCGGGUUUUGAUUUGCUUCCACAGAUGACGUCGUGAAUUAUCUCGAAAAGAUGGGAGAUUGGUGUUUGGCAUUGAUGGUUCUUGGUUUUUCUUAUCUUUUGUGAAAAACCCAGAUGGAAGGUUUGACAUUUCUGGAUGGCUAAUUGUGUGGUGUUAGUUUUUAAUCUUCAUGGGGUACAUUGAAUUUUGAGAACAAGAGCUUCCCUCGGUUUUUGUUAGUUUUUUGUCUAUAUGGAGCACCUUCCAGUUGAAGUCAUAGGCAACAUACUAUCCCGGCUUAAAGCUGCCCGAGAUGUGGUGAUUGCAUCUGCGACUUGUAAGAAAUGGAGAGAGGCUUGGCACAAUCACCUCCACACUCUUUCUUUUAAUUCCAAUGAUUGGUCCGUCUAUCAUGAUCUGACAACAAGUAGAUUGGAAAUUCUUAUAACUCAAACAAUUUUCCAAACUACAUCAUUGCAGUGUUUAUCAAUUUUAAUGGAUGAUGUUGAUGAAUUUUCAGCUGCCCCAGUGAUUGCUUGGCUCAUGUAUACCCGGGACACCUUGCAGCAACUGCAUUAUAAUGUGAGGACUACUCCGAUUGUGAAUAUCAUUGAGAAAUGCAGUCGGCAGAAGCUUGAAGUCUUGGCAUUGGCUUAUAAUUCUGUAACAGGUGUUGAACCCAGUUAUGAGAAAUUUCCAUGCUUGAAGUCACUUUCGCUAAGUUAUGUCAGUAUCUCAGCAUGGGAUUUGAGCCUUUUGCUUACCGCAUGCCCAAAACUUCAGAAUUUGGCUCUUGUUAAUCCUGAUAUUGCCAUGUCGGAUGCACAGGCAACCAUGGAACUUAAUAGUCCUUCUCUAAAAGAUAUCUAUGUGGAAGCUGUCAGUUUGGAUAAGUUCAUACUAGAGGCUGAUAGCAUUGAGAAUCUGCACCUGAAAGAUUGUACCCUCGAGCUUUUUGAGCUUAUUGGUGAGGGGUCACUGAGAGUUUUGAAGAUCGAUGAUGUUAGUGUCCUCCAUCUUGAUAUUGGUGAUAACACUGAGAAUCUUCAGAUUGUGGAUGUUAGCAGCUUCACUAUCAUGUGGCCAAAGUUCUAUAACAUGAUCUCAAAAUCGUCAAAUUUAAAGAGGCUUCGGCUCUGGGGUGUUGUAUUUGAUGAUGAGGAUGGGGUUGUGGAUUUGGAGACUGUUUCUUCUUGCUUCCCUCAGUUAAGCCACUUAUCAUUAAGUUAUGACUUAAAAGAUGUUUGUGGCUUGCAGGGGUCAUCGCAUUUGGAGAACGUGGUUGUGUUAGAACUUGGAUGGACUAUAAUCAGUGAGCUCUUCUCAGACUGGGUAGCUGGAUUUCUAGAAAGAUGCCCUAAUUUGAAGAAGUUAGUCAUUUAUGGGGUAGUUUCAGAAGCCAAAUCCCAUGAAGAGUGCCGAGUUUUAGCAAGCUUCACCUCUUCCAUUGUCCGGCUGAUGAGAAAAUAUCUGCAUGUAGAGGUACAAUUCGAUUAUGAAUAGAAGACUAGAAGUCGUGCUGACUGCAUUGAUGCCUGUUGAAAUAUUUGUUGAGCGUGAUUGUACAAUAAGUGCGGUUAAUUUUGGGAUAAUUUUGGGUUGAAGCCGCUUAUGGUACUUCUAUAUGACUACCAGACUGAAUAUGGUGCAUGGGUUUGGUAUCAUUUAUCGCCCCCUUGCUUGAACAGAAGCACGUGGAGGAAGAGGGUUUUCGAUGCUUGAAGUAGUUUCUGGUAGUUAUGUUGGAAGCUGCGGGAGACUGCGAUUUGAGAAGUAGUUGUGACGACUUGAGAGUUAGUUGUUAUGAGAGACUGCAGAAUCAAAGACGUGAAUGAAGGGUUGAGUUGAGGGAAAAGGUUUACGUGACAGCGAUUUGAGAAUUAGUUGUGAUGACUUUUUGGUCCUUGGGAAUAAUAUAACGUUGAGAAAUUAUUCAGUGUGUGUGAUAGUAACGCUACUUGGAAACGCAAGAUGCUGUCUUCUUUAAGUUUGAACCUGAAUCAUUUUUAGGUUAAAUUUUAUGCGUGAUGCAUUGUAAAAAAGCUAGACUCUAAAUGAUCAUCGAUCCCAUCACUAAAUACUUGUACUGUCAA
Pyrus x bretschneideri (Chinese white pear) is the source of this 2448-nucleotide RNA transcript. It is a transcript of the gene named F-box/LRR-repeat protein At1g67190, with no coding region annotated. Lineage: Eukaryota; Viridiplantae; Streptophyta; Magnoliopsida; Rosales; Rosaceae. The transcript is spliced from 4 exons. The record is from RefSeq and is a predicted model, not a curated record.